Molecule: RNA transcript, 676 nt
Organism: Zingiber officinale
Lineage: Eukaryota; Viridiplantae; Streptophyta; Magnoliopsida; Zingiberales; Zingiberaceae
Exons: 5
Source: RefSeq, a predicted model, not a curated record
UCGGAUUUGGAAGUAUUCUUCCCUCUGUAGGUACGGGUAGGGCUCCUAGGUGAGUCGAUGCCGGAUUGUGUGUGUCCAGGGUGUUCUUGCUUGUGUGGUGCGUUUAUUCCAGAUUUGGGCCAUUGUGAGCCAAUUUAUCGUUGAAGCGAGCGAUUCUGUGUUUUGAGGGGUCCUCUGGUGAAUUCUGCACAUGCGAGCACGGAUCUUCUUUGAGUUAUGAUGCGGGUAGGGGAGAUACUUCUUCCCCUCUGAAAGAACGAGUAACGAACCAGAUGGCUCUCACUAGUAGCUGCUGCCUCCCCUCCGCUCCAAGCAAAAUCUCCACCUUCACCAGUAGCCCCAGAAAGCAUGGCAAGCCCCUCCUUCCCUGUGUUUUUAUGUGUGCACGCGGCGAUCUAGGAAAGAAAACGAACGAAUUGACAGUCGAGUUGCCCAGAGUGUCAGAUUCCUUUUUGGCGGCAGUUGUGGCAUUAGGGAGCUUGGUUGUUGCAGAUACUGCUAGUGCCUUGCCUGAAAAAUUCUUGGUAAAAGAACUUGUUUAUCUUUACUUCAUUCGUGAGAUACCUCUCCUUCCAUUUAAUUAUGCGUUUAACGAUGGUGUUUUCAGUUUCUUCAUAAUGUAGCUUAAUUGGUUUCAUUGUUGUGGUUAUUUAUAUAAUCCUGAUGCUUGUAAAAA